Medicago truncatula (barrel medic) is the source of this 877-nucleotide long non-coding RNA. RefSeq lists it as uncharacterized. Lineage: Eukaryota; Viridiplantae; Streptophyta; Magnoliopsida; Fabales; Fabaceae. The record is from RefSeq and is a predicted model, not a curated record. The transcript is spliced from 3 exons.
UCUAAUUCCUCAUUUGACAAAAAAAAAAAGAAAAAACUAGAUCUAUGGUGAUAAUCGCGAAUGACUCUCACCAUCGACUCCCUCAAGAAAACCCACAUCUGGAAGCGUGUCUCUACAUCUCACGAAAGUGAUAAUAGCGUUUCUGAGUAGAAACCACUCAGAGUUUCUUCCACUCAUCUCUAAUCCAUGGAAUCUCCAUUUGUCACCUUCGAUCUGUGUUCGUCGUCAUCUUCGAUUGCCAUCAACCAUUGUCACCUUCUAUUUGUGUUUUCCUUUGCCAGAUUCAAGUCCUUCAUGAUUUAGAAAUGUGUUUUGGUAGUGUGGCAGCGACUGUUCCCUUUGCGAGGACUACGUUUUUUUGUUGGGGAAAACAAGUAAUAAAGAAAAGCUUUCUUCAUGGUCUCUGGUGAAAGCAAGUAAAAAAGAAAAUCUUAAUACAUUGCAAAUUGGAACCAAAGGUAGGUUCUGUUUUGUGAAUUAUAUUCCUAUCUUUUAAUCUUUGUUCUUUCCAAUGAAACACAAACUACAAGGACUGUGUGGAUACUGCAAAUUGAAAACAACAAAUGAAAAUGUGGAUUCUUACAAGUUACAUGUGUGACAAUUUCUAAGAUUUCUGUCUUUAUGCAAUAUGAUUAGUGUCUUUAUGCAAUACGAUCUGUCUUCACUAUGUACAAUAUUUAACUUUCUGUUAGGUUAAUGUAGUUGUUUCAGUUAUGAUAUGUAGCCUGCUUUAGGUGGUUUCAUUGUGAUCAUUCAAGCUAGCCUUUUGGCAAAGCAAUUUUCUUUGGCUGUUUGAUAACUUUGAUUUAUGAUUAUGAUUGUGUAUGAAGUAAACAAUUGAUUUUAUGAUAAACAUUGUGAUAAAAAAUUCUCUUUC